Molecule: ribosomal RNA, 488 nt
Filed under: uncultured Myxozyma
Lineage: Eukaryota; Fungi; Ascomycota; Saccharomycetes; Saccharomycetales
Description: eukaryotic LSU rRNA
Rfam family: Eukaryotic large subunit ribosomal RNA
Source: RNAcentral
AACCAACAGGGAUUGCCUUAGUAACUGCGAGUGAAGCGGCAAGAGCUCAAAUUUGAAAUCUGGCAUCCGCCCGAAUUGUAAUUUGUAGAAGCAACUUUUGAACUAGUCCUUGCAUAUGUUCCUUGGAACAGGACAUCAUAGAGGGUGAGAAUCCCGUUCAUGGUGGGGAGUCUAGUUCUCUGUAAAGUGCUUUCGACGAGUCGAGUUGUUUGGGAAUGCAGCUCUAAGUGGGUGGUAAAUUCCAUCUAAAGCUAAAUAUUGGCGAGAGACCGAUAGCGAACAAGUACAGUGAUGGAAAGAUGAAAAGUACUCCGAAAGGAGAGUGAAAUAGGACGUGAAAUUGUUGAAAGGGAAGUGCAUUUGAUCAGACAUGGUGUUUUGUGCCCUCUGCUCCUUGUGGGUAGGGAAUCUCGCAUUUCACUGGGCCAGCAUCAGUUUUGGUGGCAGGAUAAAUCCAUAGGAAUGUAGCUUGCCUCGGUAAGUAUUAU